RNAcentral lists this ribosomal RNA (827 nucleotides) under Staphylococcus aureus. Its description in RNAcentral is "partial 23S ribosomal RNA". It matches the Rfam family "Bacterial large subunit ribosomal RNA", at positions 162 to 985 of the family's 2925-position model. The record is from RNAcentral. Lineage: Bacteria; Bacillati; Bacillota; Bacilli; Caryophanales; Staphylococcaceae.
AUACAUAGCAUAUCAGAAGGCACACCCGGAGAACUGAAACAUCUUAGUAACCGGAGGAAGAGAAAGAAAAUUCGAUUCCCUUAGUAGCGGCGAGCGAAACGGGAAGAGCCCAAACCAACAAGCUUGCUUGUUGGGGUUGUAGGACACUCUAUACGGAGUUACAAAGGACGACAUUAGACGAAUCAUCUGGAAAGAUGAAUCAAAGAAGGUAAUAAUCCUGUAGUCGAAAAUGUUGUCUCUCUUGAGUGGAUCCUGAGUACGACGGAGCACGUGAAAUUCCGUCGGAAUCUGGGAGGACCAUCUCCUAAGGCUAAAUACUCUCUAGUGACCGAUAGUGAACCAGUACCGUGAGGGAAAGGUGAAAAGCACCCCGGAAGGGGAGUGAAAUAGAACCUGAAACCGUGUGCUUACAAGUAGUCAGAGCCCGUUAAUGGGUGAUGGCGUGCCUUUUGUAGAAUGAACCGGCGAGUUACGAUUUGAUGCAAGGUUAAGCAGUAAAUGUGGAGCCGUAGCGAAAGCGAGUCUGAAUAGGGCGUUUAGUAUUUGGUCGUAGACCCGAAACCAGGUGAUCUACCCUUGGUCAGGUUGAAGUUCAGGUAACACUGAAUGGAGGACCGAACCGACUUACGUUGAAAAGUGAGCGGAUGAACUGAGGGUAGCGGAGAAAUUCCAAUCGAACCUGGAGAUAGCUGGUUCUCUCCGAAAUAGCUUUAGGGCUAGCCUCAAGUGAUGAUUAUUGGAGGUAGAGCACUGUUUGGACGAGGGGCCCCUCUCGGGUUACCGAAUUCAGACAAACUCCGAAUGCCAAUUAAUUUAACUUGGGAGUC